Molecule: non-coding RNA, 28 nt
Filed under: Mus musculus (house mouse)
Lineage: Eukaryota; Metazoa; Chordata; Mammalia; Rodentia; Muridae
Source: RNAcentral
UCUCAUUACAGACAUGAAUGGCAGCCUA